AGAGUUUGAUCAUGGCUCAGGACGAACGCUGGCGGCGCGCCUAACACAUGCAAGUCGAACGGAGUUAAGAGGAGCUUGCUUUUCUUGACUUAGUGGCGAACGGGUGAGUAACGCGUGAGUAACCUGCCUCAGAGUGGGGGACAACAGUUGGAAACGACUGCUAAUACCGCAUAAGACCACGGGGUCGCAUGGCCCUGAGCUAAAAGGAUUUAUUCGCUUUGAGAUGGACUCGCGUCCAAUUAGCUGGUUGGUGAGGUAACGGCCCACCAAGGCGACGAUUGGUAGCCGGACUGAGAGGUUGAACGGCCACAUUGGGACUGAGACACGGCCCAGACUCCUACGGGAGGCAGCAGUGGGGGAUAUUGCACAAUGGGGGAAACCCUGAUGCAGCGACGCCGCGUGGAGGAAGAAGGUUUUCGGAUUGUAAACUCCUGUCGUAAGGGACGAUAAUGACGGUACCUUACAAGAAAGCCACGGCUAACUACGUGCCAGCAGCCGCGGUAAAACGUAGGUGGCAAGCGUUGUCCGGAAUUACUGGGUGUAAAGGGAGCGCAGGCGGACCGGCAAGUUGGAAGUGAAAACUAUGGGCUCAACCCAUAAACUGCUUUCAAAACUGCUGGCCUUGAGUAGUGCAGAGGUAGGCGGAAUUCCCGGUGUAGCGGUGGAAUGCGUAGAUAUCGGGAGGAACACCAGUGGCGAAGGCGGCCUACUGGGCACCAACUGACGCUGAGGCUCGAAAGUGUGGGUAGCAAACAGGAUUAGAUACCCUGGUAGUCC
This 777-nucleotide ribosomal RNA is filed under the name uncultured bacterium. RNAcentral describes it as "bacterial SSU rRNA". It matches the Rfam family "Bacterial small subunit ribosomal RNA", at positions 8 to 796 of the family's 1533-position model. The record is from RNAcentral.